Molecule: ribosomal RNA, 254 nt
Filed under: uncultured bacterium
Lineage: Bacteria
Description: partial 16S ribosomal RNA
Rfam family: Bacterial small subunit ribosomal RNA
Source: RNAcentral
UACGUAGGGGGCGAGCGUUGUCCGGAUUUACUGGGCGUAAAACGCUUGUAGGCGGCCACGCCAAGUCGGCUGUGAAAUCUCCCGGCUUAACUGGGAGGGGUCAUUCGAUACUGGCGGGCUCGAGGCAGGUAGGGGGAAGCGGAAUUCCCGGUGUAGUGGUGGAAUGCGUAGAUAUCGGGAGGAACACCAGUGGCGAAGGCGGCUUCCUGGACCUGUUCUGACGCUGAGGAGCGAAAGCGUGGGGAGCGAUCCGG